GACGAACGCUGGCGGCGUGCUUAACACAUGCAAGUCGAACGGACAGGCCCUGCUUUUGUGGGGUGCUCGAGUGGCGAACGGGUGAGUAACACGUGAGUAACCUGCCCCUGACUUUGGGAUAACUUCAGGAAACUGGGGCUAAUACCGGAUAUGAGCUCCUGCAGCAUGGUGGGGGAUGGUAAGUUUCGGCGGUUGGGGCAGGUCUCGCAGCUUAUCAGCUUGUUGGUGGGGUAGUGGCUUACCAAGGCUUUGACGGGUAGCCGGCCUGAGAGGGUGACCGGCCACAUUGGGACUGAGAUACGGCGCAGACGCCUACGGGAGGCAGCAGUGGGGAAUAUUGCACAAUGGGCGGAAGCCUGAUGCAGCAACGCCGCGAGCGGGAUGAUGGCCUUCGGGUUGUAAACCACUUUCGCCUGUGACAAAGCGUGAGUGACGGUAAUGGGUAAAGAAGCACCGGCUAACUACGUG
RNAcentral lists this ribosomal RNA (468 nucleotides) under uncultured bacterium. RNAcentral's name for it is "partial 16S ribosomal RNA". It matches the Rfam family "Bacterial small subunit ribosomal RNA", at positions 28 to 507 of the family's 1533-position model. The record is from RNAcentral.